AUAGCCAUGCAUGUCUCAGUACAUGCCGAAUUAAGGUGAAACCGCGAAUGGCUCAUUAAAUCAGUUAUGGUUCAUUAGAUCGUGGACACAUUUACUUGGAUAACUGUGGUAAUUCUAGAGCUAAUACAUGCAAACAGAAUUCCUCUCAGAGAUGGGAGGAAUGCUUUUAUUAGAUCAAAACCAAUCGGUGGCGGACGGCUCGUCCGUUCGUCCAUCGUUUGUUUUGGUGACUCUGAAUAACUUUGUGCUGAUCGCAUGGUCAUCUAGCACCGGCGACGCAUCUUUCAAAUGUCUGCCUUAUCAACUGUCGAUGGUAGGUUCUGCGCCUACCAUGGUUGUAACGGGUAACGGGGAAUCAGGGUUCGAUUCCGGAGAGGGAGCCUGAGAAACAGCUACCACAUCCAAGGAAGGCAGCAGGCGCGCAAAUUACCCACUCCCGGCACGGGGAGGUAGUGACGAAAAAUAACGAUACGGGACUCAUCCGAGGCCCCGUAAUCGGAAUGAGUACACUUUAAAUCCUUUAACGAGGACCAAUUGGAGGGCAAGUCUGGUGCCAGCAGCCGCGGUAAUUCCAGCUCCAAUAGCGUAUAUUAAAGUUGUUGCGGUUAAAAAGCUCGUAGUUGAAUCUGUGUGUCACAGUGUCGGUUCACCGCUCGCGGUGUUUAACUGGCAUUAUGUGGUACGUCCUAUCGGUGGGCUUAGCUCCUUGCGGGCGGUCCAACUAAUAUCCCAUCGCGGUGCUCUUCACUGAGUGUCGAGGUGGGCCGAUACGUUUACUUUGAAAAAAUUAGAGUGCUUAAAGCAGGCUACCUUUGCCUGAAUACUGUGUGCAUGGAAUAAUGGAAUAGGACCUCGGUUCUAUUUUGUUGGUUUUCGGAACCCCGAGGUAAUGAUUAAUAGGGACAGAUGGGGGCAUUCGUAUUGCGACGUUAGAGGUGAAAUUCUUGGAUCGUCGCAAGACGGACAGAAGCGAAAGCAUUUGCCCAAAAAUGUUUUCAUUAAUCAAGAACGAAGUUAGAGGU
This 1022-nucleotide ribosomal RNA is filed under the name Apis mellifera (honey bee). RNAcentral describes it as "SSU rRNA". It matches the Rfam family "Eukaryotic small subunit ribosomal RNA", at positions 45 to 997 of the family's 1831-position model. Lineage: Eukaryota; Metazoa; Arthropoda; Insecta; Hymenoptera; Apidae. The record is from RNAcentral.